GAUGAAGAACGUAGCGAAAUGCGAUACUUGGUGUGAAUUGCAGAAUCCCGUGAACCAUCGAGUCUUUGAACGCAAGUUGCGCCCGAAGCCAUUAGGCCGAGGGCACGCCUGCAUGGGCGUCACACGUCGUUGCCCCCCCAUCUACUCCUUCGGGAUUGCGGGGGGCGGAUGAUGGCCUCCCGUGCGCCUCGUCGCGCGGUUGGCAUAAAUGCCAAGUCCUCGGCGACGCACGCCACGACAAUCGGUGGUUGCGAAACCUCGGUUGCCCGUCGUGUGCGGUCGUCGCGCAUCGAGGGCUCGAAAAAAUUGCCGGGCUCCGGCUCGGCUUUCAACGCGACCCCAGGUCAGGCGGGGUUACCCGCUGAAUUUAAGCAUAUCAAUAAGCGGAGGA
RNAcentral lists this unclassified non-coding RNA (391 nucleotides) under soil metagenome. Its description in RNAcentral is "partial contains 5.8S ribosomal RNA, internal transcribed spacer 2, and large subunit ribosomal RNA". The stretch from base 1 to 122 matches the Rfam family "5.8S ribosomal RNA", at positions 35 to 154 of the family's 154-position model. The record is from RNAcentral.